Molecule: ribosomal RNA, 497 nt
Filed under: uncultured bacterium
Lineage: Bacteria
Description: partial 16S ribosomal RNA
Rfam family: Bacterial small subunit ribosomal RNA
Source: RNAcentral
GAUGAACGCUGGCGGCGUGCCUAAUACAUGCAAGUCGAGCGAACGGACGAGAAGCUUGCUUCUCUGAUGUUAGCGGCGGACGGGUGAGUAACACGUGGAUAACCUACCUAUAAGACUGGGAUAACUUCGGGAAACCGGAGCUAAUACUGGAUAAUAUUUUGAACCGCAUGGUUCAAAAGUGAAAGACGGUCUUGCUGUCACUUAUAGAUGGAUCCGCGCUGCAUUAGCUAGUUGGUAAGGUAACGGCUUACCAAGGCAACGAUGCAUAGCCGACCUGAGAGGGUGAUCGGCCACACUGGAACUGAGACACGGUCCAGACUCCUACGGGAGGCAGCAGUAGGGAAGCUUCCGCAAUGGGCGAAAGCCUGACGGAGCAACGCCGCGUGAGUGAUGAAGGUCUUCGGAUCGUAAAACUCUGUUAUUAGGGAAGAACAUAUGUGUAAGUAACUGUGCACAUCUUGACGGUACCUAAUCAGAAAGCCACGGCUAACUACGUG